This 508-nucleotide ribosomal RNA is filed under the name uncultured bacterium. RNAcentral's name for it is "partial 16S ribosomal RNA". It matches the Rfam family "Bacterial small subunit ribosomal RNA", at positions 30 to 523 of the family's 1533-position model. The record is from RNAcentral.
AUUGAACGCUGGCGGCAUGCCUAACACAUGUAAGUCGAACGGCAGCACGACCUAGCUUGCUAGGUUGGUGGCGAGUGGCGCACGGGUGAGUAAUGCGUAGGAAUAUACCUUAAAGUGGGGGACAACCUGGGGAAACUCAGGCUAAUACCGCAUGAGCUCUAAGGAGGAAAGCUGGGGACCUUUCGGGGCCUGGCGCUUUAAGAAUAGCUUACGUCCGAUUAGUUAGUUGGUGGGGUAAAGGCUUACCAAGACGAUGAUCGGUAGCUGGUCUGAGAGGAUGAUCAGCCACACUGGGACUGAGACACGGCCCAGACUCCUACGGGAGGCAGCAGUGGGGAAUAUUGGACAAUGGGGGAAACCCUGAUCCAGCGAUGCCGCGUGUGUGAAGAAGGCCUGCGGGUUGUAAAGCACUUUCGGUGGGGAGGAGGACUUAUAGGUUAAGAGCUAAUGAGUUGGACGUUACCCACAUAAGAAGCACCGGCUAACUCCGUGCCAGCAGCCGCCGUAA